Molecule: small nucleolar RNA, 128 nt
Organism: Lemur catta (Ring-tailed lemur)
Lineage: Eukaryota; Metazoa; Chordata; Mammalia; Primates; Lemuridae
Product: small nucleolar RNA ACA64
Exons: 1
Source: RefSeq, a predicted model, not a curated record
AUUGGUUGAAAAUCACCCCCCGGCUUUAGCCAUAGCCAGGGGUGAGAUGCGGUGCCCAGAGCCAACAGGGGCCUCAGCUCAGCGCCCACUGCCUCGUGUGCGGCGGUGAAACCCAGGUCCCGACAGGC